GUAGGUGAACCUGCGGAAGGAUCAUUAAUGAAAAAUAGGACGUUCUUUUUAGAAGUCCGACCCUUCAUUUACUUUACACUGUGCACACACUUCUUUUUCACCCAUUUUUAAACACUAUAGUAUAAGAAUGUACCAGUCUCUUAAUUGAGCAUAAACAUAAAAUAAAACUUUCAGCAACGGAUCUCUUGGCUCUC
This 194-nucleotide unclassified non-coding RNA is filed under the name rhizosphere metagenome. RNAcentral describes it as "partial ribosomal RNA internal transcribed spacer region". The record is from RNAcentral.